GAACUUAAGCAUAUCAAUAAGCGGAGGAAAAGAAACCAACAGGGAUUGCCUCAGUAACGGCGAGUGAAGCGGCAACAGCUCAAAUUUGAAAUCUGGCCGCAAGGUCCGAGUUGUAAUUUGUAGAGGAUGCUUUUGGCGAGGUGCCUUCCGAGUUCCCUGGAACGGGACGCCAUAGAGGGUGAGAGCCCCGUACGGUAGGACCACCAAGCCUCUGUAAAGCUCCUUCGACGAGUCGAGUAGUUUGGGAAUGCUGCUCUAAAUGGGAGGUGUACGUCUUCUAAAGCUAAAUACCGGCCAGAGACCGAUAGCGCACAAGUAGAGUGAUCGAAAGAUGAAAAGCACUUUGAAAAGAGGGUUAAAAAGUACGUGAAAUUGUUGAAAGGGAAGCAUUCAUGACCAGACUUGGGCUUGGUUGAACAUCCGGCGUUCUCGCCGGUGCACUCUGCCAGUCCAGGCCAGCAUCAGUUUGCCCCGGGGGAUAAAGGCGGCGGGAAUGUGGCUCCCUUCGGGGAGUGUUAUAGCCCGUCGUGUAGUGCCCUGGGGCGGACUGAGGAACGCGCUUCGGCACGGAUGCUGGCGUAAUGGUCAUCAAUGACCCGUCUUGAAACACGGACCAAGGAGUCGUCUUCGUAUGCGAGUGUUCGGGUGUCAAACCCCUACGCGUAAUGAAAGUGAACGUAGGUGAGAGCUUCGGCGCAUCACCGACCGAUCCUGAUGUUCUCGGAUGGAUUUGAGUAAGAGCAUACGGGGCCGGACCCGAAA
This 762-nucleotide ribosomal RNA is filed under the name uncultured fungus. RNAcentral describes it as "eukaryotic LSU rRNA". It matches the Rfam family "Eukaryotic large subunit ribosomal RNA", at positions 30 to 821 of the family's 3401-position model. The record is from RNAcentral. Lineage: Eukaryota; Fungi.